Molecule: ribosomal RNA, 529 nt
Filed under: uncultured bacterium
Lineage: Bacteria
Description: bacterial SSU rRNA
Rfam family: Bacterial small subunit ribosomal RNA
Source: RNAcentral
AUGGGCGCAAGCCUGAUCCAGCCAUGCCGCGUGCNNGANGAAGGCCUUCGGGUUGUAAANUGCUUUNGUNCGGGACGAAACGGACUGGGUUAAUACCGUGGGAUAAUGACGGUACCGUAAGAAUAAGCACCGGCUAACUACGUGCCAGCAGCCGCGGUAAUACGUAGGGUGCGAGCGUUAAUCGGAAUUACUGGGCGUAAAGCGUGCGCAGGCGGUUUUGUAAGACAGGCGUGAAAUCCCCGGGCUCAACCUGGGAAUGGCGCUUGUGACUGCAAAGCUGGAGUGCGGCAGAGGGGGAUGGAAUUCCGCGUGUAGCAGUGAAAUGCGUAGAUAUGCGGAGGAACACCGAUGGCGAAGGCAAUCCCCUGGGCCUGCACUGACGCUCAUGCACGAAAGCGUGGGGAGCAAACAGGAUUAGAUACCCUGGUAGUCCACGCCCUAAACGAUGUCAACUGGUUGUUGGUCCUUAGCUGGCAUCAGUANCGAAGCUAACGCGUGAAGUUGCCCGCCUGGGGAGUACGGCUGCAAG